RNAcentral lists this ribosomal RNA (538 nucleotides) under uncultured bacterium. RNAcentral describes it as "partial 16S ribosomal RNA". It matches the Rfam family "Bacterial small subunit ribosomal RNA", at positions 355 to 884 of the family's 1533-position model. The record is from RNAcentral.
UAGGGAAUCUUCGGCAAUGGACGAAAGUCUGACCGAGCAACGCCGCGUGAGUGAAGAAGGUUUUCGGAUCGUAAAACUCUGUUGGUAGAGAAGAACGUUGGUGAGAGUGGAAAGCUCAUCAAGUGACGGUAACUACCCAGAAAGGGACGGCUAACUACGUGCCAGCAGCCGCGGUAAUACGUAGGUCCCGAGCGUUGUCCGGAUUUAUUGGGCGUAAAGCGAGCGCAGGUGGUUUAUUAAGUCUGGUGUAAAAGGCAGUGGCUCAACCAUUGUAUGCAUUGGAAACUGGUAGACUUGAGUGCAGGAGAGGAGAGUGGAAUUCCAUGUGUAGCGGUGAAAUGCGUAGAUAUAUGGAGGAACACCGGUGGCGAAAGCGGCUCUCUGGCCUGUAACUGACACUGAGGCUCGAAAGCGUGGGGAGCAAACAGGAUUAGAUAGCCCUGGUAGUCCACGCGUAAACGAUGAGUGCUAGAUGUAGGGAGCUAUAAGUUCUCUGUAUCGCAGCUAACGCAAUAAGCACUCCGCCUGGGGGAGUACG